Rosa chinensis is the source of this 452-nucleotide long non-coding RNA. RefSeq lists it as uncharacterized. The record is from RefSeq and is a predicted model, not a curated record. The transcript has 2 exons. NCBI's taxonomy places the organism in Eukaryota, Viridiplantae, Streptophyta, Magnoliopsida, Rosales, Rosaceae.
AAUACCACCACUUAAUGAAAAUUUUCCUUAACAGUUCAUGCAAUCUGUGAUCAAACUAAACUUCGAAAUCAGCAAGAAAUUUCCUUCUCCAUUUUAAUUGCAUUAUGCUGAACUUUUUGAGUUCGGUGUUGUAGGUUUUGCGUAUUACCUUUAGGACUUGUGUUCUCCCCAGGCCCCUAUUUUUUUAAUUACUCUUCCUUGGAAUGCUAUGAAUUCUUAUUUAGAAAUCUCAUUUAGUUUUUUACUGGUUGACUCAUGUACAGAAGUAAUUUCAGGGAUUUGGUAGCUCCUUGCUCCUGGAAUUGAAAAAGAGACUUCAAAGUGUUGGUAUAUGCACAAUAUUCUGUUGGGGAGACAAGGAAUCUGAAGGGUUUUGGCUCAAACAGAUCAGAAUGACAAGGAUUUGGAUCGGACGAGUGAGAGGCAGGAUCUUGAAGGAAAGGAGCUAAAGC